AUUGAACGCUGGCGGCAUGCCUUACACAUGCAAGUCGAACGGCAGCACGGGAGCAAUCCUGGUGGCGAGUGGCGAACGGGUGAGUAAUAUAUCGGAACGUGCCCAGUCGUGGGGAUAACGUAGCGAAAGCUACGCUAAUACCGCAUACGAUCUAUGGAUGAAAGCGGGGGAUCGCAAGACCUCGCGCGAUUGGAGCGGCCGAUAUCAGAUUAGGUAGUUGGUGAGGUAAAGGCUCACCAAGCCGACGAUCUGUAGCUGGUCUGAGAGGACGACCAGCCACACUGGGACUGAGACACGGCCCAGACUCCUACGGGAGGCAGCAGUGGGGAAUUUUGGACAAUGGGCGCAAGCCUGAUCCAGCAAUGCCGCGUGCAGGAUGAAGGCCUUCGGGUUGUAAACUGCUUUUGUACGGUAACGAAACGGUGAGCUCUAAUACAGUUUGCUAAUGACGGUACCGUAAGAAUAAGCACCGGCUAACUACGUACG
Molecule: ribosomal RNA, 486 nt
Filed under: uncultured bacterium
Lineage: Bacteria
Description: bacterial SSU rRNA
Rfam family: Bacterial small subunit ribosomal RNA
Source: RNAcentral